Molecule: long non-coding RNA, 1319 nt
Organism: Esox lucius (northern pike)
Lineage: Eukaryota; Metazoa; Chordata; Actinopteri; Esociformes; Esocidae
Source: Ensembl
GCAGAUCAAAGCUUUUAGUGCCAUGGCCUCUAGAUGUCAGUUUGGAUUUGUAUGUAGGUCUGAUGCUCCAGAAGUGACAGCUGUGAAGUGGGAGGUUGUGGAGGGUACAAUUAAUUUCUGAGUAGCCUAUUUGUGUGUUUCUGUGCAUGUACAUGUGUGUGUUUGUGUAUGUCUGUGUCUUUGUGUGGCAGUAGCGCAACCACAGACCACAGCCCCAGUGGUCAGCCAUGCGUUUGUUAAUUAAAGUACAUUUCUGUGUUUUCACGUUGACUGAAGUACUUUUCUGUGUUUGCUGCAUAUUUAUAUUCACCUUGCCAUUUCCUCACAGCCAACAACAGUUCAUUUGAAUUUAAACUAAUUAGCAAGUGGGACUAUGGGGGAGAGUCUGUCCUCUAGAACAUGGUUUUAAAUGUUUUCAUGGUAGUUUUAACCAGACAGAGAUUGAGUGAGAGGGUCAUGAAUAAAGCAUAAGUCCUUGGGGUCCAGAUUAUGUCUGCGUGGCUUCUCUCACUCCUGGGUUGUUGAAAUGAGGUUUAGGAAGUCACUUUACCCAAGGUAUUCUGUUCCUGUUUUUGUCUGAGUCCAUGGGAGGCUUCGUAAUGAAGUCAUGAUGAACAUGGUGAUUCAAUAACACGUUGUCUGGAGCAUGAAGACAUUCGCACAGGAGCAGGAAAACACGAAGAUCAACCGGGAUACGGGAAGGUGAAAAAAGGAAACCUGAAUGGUCAUUGGUCAGCGACGUGUAAGCUGAUGCCUGGGAUUGCUCCAAUCACAAUAGCAGAUUUCAUACUAUUUCAUCGUCAGGUUACUCACUCAGUCUGAUGUGUGUUGGUCUACUAGCAUGUGGGUGCCAACCCCCCCACCACCUCUGCCUCCACCUGUUAUCCAAAGGUUGUGCCAAAGGUCAAUGUUUACAAUAAUAUGACUAGAUAAAACAUUUCCAAUCAAUGAUGAGCAUGAAAGGCCCACUGUUUUGGUGCACAGCAAAUGUAAAUGGUAAAUGAUUACCGUCUAUUGCUAAUGUAUUUCACAUGGAGGUAACCACGUAUGGUCAGCAUAUAAGAGGGGGACACUGGCAAUGUCUUCCAACAUGGAGGAGGUAGACAACAAGGCAGAGGAGGAAAUCAGACCCCUGGACAGAGUCCAAACUACAAACUGAGUUACUGUGAACCAUCAAAAAUAGAUCUUUGUUGACUAAACAGGCGUUGUGGACACAAUAUCAUUGGCCAGUGAGCAACUGUCCAAGUGCCUGGACAGUGUGGGGGAAACAUAUCCAUGUGUGCAGCCAUAUCUGAAGAUGGGGUGGUAGGAUAUGAGCC